This 468-nucleotide ribosomal RNA is filed under the name uncultured bacterium. RNAcentral's name for it is "partial 16S ribosomal RNA". It matches the Rfam family "Bacterial small subunit ribosomal RNA", at positions 28 to 507 of the family's 1533-position model. The record is from RNAcentral.
GACGAACGCUGGCGGCGUGCUUAACACAUGCAAGUCGAACGGAAAGGCCCUGCUUUUGUGGGGUGCUCGAGCGGCGAACGGGUGAGUAACACGUGAGUAACCUGCCCUUGACUUUGGGAUAACUUCAGGAAACUGGGGCUAAUACCGGAUAGGAGCUCCUGCUGCAUUGUGGGGGUUGGAAAGUUUCGGCGGUUGGGGAUGGACUCGCGGCUUAUCAGCUUGUUGGUGGGGUAGUGGCUUACCAAGGCUUUGACGGGUAGCCGGCCUGAGAGGGUGACCGGCCACAUUGGGACUGAGAUACGGCCCAGACGCCUACGGGAGGCAGCAGUGGGGAAUAUUGCACAAUGGGCGGAAGCCUGAUGCAGCAACGCCGCGUGCGGGAUGACGGCCUUCGGGUUGUAAACCGCUUUCGCCUGUGACGAAGCGUGAGUGACGGUAAUGGGUAAAGAAGCACCGGCUAGCUACGUG